UUAGAGUUUGAUCAUGGCUCAGGACGAACGCUGGCGGCGUGCCUAAUACAUGCAAGUCGAACGCGUCCCGGUUGAUGAGGUUGAGUGCUUGCACUUGAUUGAUUCAACUUGGUGACGAGUGGCGAACCGGUGAGUAACACGUGGGUAACCUGCCCCGAAGCGGGGGAUAUCAUUUGGAAACAGGUGCUAAUACCGCAUAACAACCAAAACCUCCUGGUUUUGGUUUAAAAGACGGCUUCGGCUGUCACUUUGGGAUGGACCCGCGGCGUAUUAGCUAGUUGGUGAGGUAACGGCUCACCAAGGCGAUGAUACGUAGCCGACCUGAGAGGGUAAUCGGCCACAUUGGGACUGAGACACGGCCCAAACUCCUACGGGAGGCAGCAGUAGGGAAUCUUCCACAAUGGACGCAAGUCUGACGGAGCAACGCCGCGUGAGUGAUGAAGGGUUUCGGCUCGUAAAACUCUGUUGUUGGAGAAGAACGGGUGUCAGAGUAACUGUUGACAUCGUGACGGUAUCCAACCAGAAAGCCACGGCUAACUACGUGCCAGCAGCCGCGGUAAUACGUAGGUGGCAAGCGUUGUCCGGAUUUAUUGGGCGUAAAGCGAGCGCAGGCGGUUUUUUAGGUCUGAUGUGAAAGCCUUCGGCUUAACCGGAGAAGUGCAUCGGAAACCGGGAGACUUGAGUGCAGAAGAGGACAGUGGAACUCCAUGUGUAGCGGUGAAAUGCGUAGAUAUAUGGAAGAACACCAGUGGCGAAAGCGGCUGUCUGGUCUGCAACUGACGCUGAGGCUCGAAAGCAUGGGUAGCGAACAGGAUUAGAUACCCUG
RNAcentral lists this ribosomal RNA (826 nucleotides) under uncultured bacterium. Its description in RNAcentral is "bacterial SSU rRNA". It matches the Rfam family "Bacterial small subunit ribosomal RNA", at positions 1 to 789 of the family's 1533-position model. The record is from RNAcentral.